AGGACGAACGCUGGCGGCGUGCUUAACACAUGCAAGUCGAGCGGAAAGGCCCUUCGGGGUACUCGAGCGGCGAACGGGUGAGUAACACGUGAGUAAUCUGCCCCUAGCUCUGGGAUAGCUCCGGAACCGGGAUUAAUACCGGAUACGACCACUUAGACAUCUGUUGUGGUGGAAAGAAUUUGGCUAGGGAUGAGCUCGCGGCCUAUCAGCUUGUUGGUGGGGUAAUGGCCUACCAAGGCGACGACGGGUA
This 250-nucleotide ribosomal RNA is filed under the name uncultured bacterium. RNAcentral describes it as "partial small subunit ribosomal RNA". It matches the Rfam family "Bacterial small subunit ribosomal RNA", at positions 26 to 285 of the family's 1533-position model. The record is from RNAcentral.